Molecule: ribosomal RNA, 250 nt
Filed under: uncultured bacterium
Lineage: Bacteria
Description: partial 16S ribosomal RNA
Rfam family: Bacterial small subunit ribosomal RNA
Source: RNAcentral
UACGGAGGGUGCAAGCGUUACUCGGAAUCACUGGGCGUAAAGGAUGCGUAGGCUGGAAAUCAAGUCGAGAGUGAAAUCCAACGGCUCAACCGUUGAACUGCUCUCGAAACUGAUUACCUAGAAUAUGGGAGAGGUAGAUGGAAUUGGUGGUGUAGGGGUAAAAUCCGUAGAUAUCACCAGGAAUACCGAUUGCGAAGGCGAUCUACUGGAACAUUAUUGACGCUGAGGCAUGAAAGCGUGGGGAGCAAAC